This 1644-nucleotide long non-coding RNA is filed under the name Helianthus annuus (common sunflower). Lineage: Eukaryota; Viridiplantae; Streptophyta; Magnoliopsida; Asterales; Asteraceae. The record is from RNAcentral.
AUGAAUCGCUCUCUGCCUCUCAUUCAUUCCUCUAUGAAUCCGACUCUGAUCUUCGUGAUAAAGUUGUAUCCUGGUUCUCCGAUUGUUGUGAUCCAGUCAGUCCGAUAACCGAAUCUAAUUUGCAAUACCAAGAACCCUAAAUAUAGAAUUAACACAAGCGUUUCUUUUCAUCCUUUGCCUCCAAUUAGUUCUCUUUUUUUUCAAUUGAAAGAACCUAGAUCUCAUCUCUCUACGGUCAAAAGUAACCUGGAACCCUUGAUUGUGAGACAAUGUGACCAUCGGUUUCUAAGGUUUUUGUAUUGAUUCUUGAAGGAGUCAUCGGAACUGGCGGCACUUGAAGCAUCCAAAGGAUUCGAGAGACGAUAAUGUUCCCUGUUUCAAAUCUUUUUGAGGUGCUCAGUUUUUCUGUCGACAAGGUGGUUGUGGCGUUUGAUUUAUAUGGUUAGGGUUUUCCAGAAUUGGGCUGACGGGAGAUCCGGGCACUCCAAAUAAGUGAGACAGGCAAGAGUGAGCUACUUCCGUACCAGCUUGAAGGAUUGAAUUUCUUACGUUUCUCAUGGUCUAAAGUCUAAACAAACACAUGUGAUACUUGCAGACGAAAUGGGUCUUGGGAAACGAUACAAAGUAUUGCUUUUUUGGCAUCGUUGUCUAAAGAGAAUGUCUCCCCUCAUUUAGUAGCACCGCUUUCUACAUUAAGGAAUUGGGAACAUUAAUUUGCUAUAUGGGCUGCUAAUAUGAAUGUUUCGCAUCUUCUCCACACGAAGAAGAAACAACCUUCACUUUCAGACGUUAUUGCGUUUUAUUCGCUGUUAAAAAGUUGUGUUUUUCAAGCAAACAACAAAGAAAUAGGAUGUUUUGUUUACGGUGCUACAGUUUUGAAGAAUAUAACAACAGCUAUUUGAAGAGGCGUUCACACCUUAUUUUCAAAUUGUGAAACCAUCCAAGCCGUUUAUCAUGUCUAGCAACUGCAACAUCGUGUCCAGUAGCAUAUGCAACAAUGGCACAACAACGAGCAAAGCAGGUAGUCAUCCACUUUUUACAAGGAAUGUGGUUCAAUAUUACGCACCGGCUAGCUGAACAGGUCGAUAGGGUGCGCACCAGCUAGCUGGGGAGUUUGAUUGGCUUUUACCCUAUGUUCAGGAACCGCUUGAUCAUAUCCUGUUCAAGAUGGGUCUUUCUAAAAUCAAGAUUCAAGAGCUGAUCUCCAACUAAGAGAAUCAUCAAUGCAUUAAAAGAUUCGAGGGUCUUGCGUUUUCUAGAGCAUGGCGACUCCCAAUUGAAACAUCGGAUAUCCAUUCUCAACUGAAACAGGUGUGGAGAUUACUUCUAGCUGCUAUGAAGUUUUCAUUUGCUAAUGGCAUUGAAUUGCACGUGUUUUGUGAGCUGGAUAACUUGAAGAUAUUAUCUGUGAUGAUUUUGAACAUAGUGGUGAUCACAUUCAUGCUCUACGGUUAAUAAAGACCUGCACAAUCACAUUUUCUUCAGUCUCCUUGGUGACUGGGUGAACUAAGUUCCAGCUUUUCAAGAUGAAGUUCAUGAAACUUGGAUCAAAACCGGAUUUGUUUCAGUCCAAUAGCGAAAACACUCGGUCAAAGAACUCCACCACCCAAUCCUACCGGUUAUUACUUUGUAGCAAAGAGUAUU